RNAcentral lists this ribosomal RNA (334 nucleotides) under Shigella sonnei. RNAcentral's name for it is "bacterial SSU rRNA". It matches the Rfam family "Bacterial small subunit ribosomal RNA", at positions 1 to 331 of the family's 1533-position model. Lineage: Bacteria; Pseudomonadati; Pseudomonadota; Gammaproteobacteria; Enterobacterales; Enterobacteriaceae. The record is from RNAcentral.
AAAUUGAAGAGUUUGAUCAUGGCUCAGAUUGAACGCUGGCGGCAGGCCUAACACAUGCAAGUCGAACGGUAACAGGAAGCAGCUUGCUGCUUCGCUGACGAGUGGCGGACGGGUGAGUAAUGUCUGGGAAACUGCCUGAUGGAGGGGGAUAACUACUGGAAACGGUAGCUAAUACCGCAUAACGUCGCAAGACCAAAGAGGGGGACCUUCGGGCCUCUUGCCAUCGGAUGUGCCCAGAUGGGAUUAGCUUGUUGGUGGGGUAACGGCUCACCAAGGCGACGAUCCCUAGCUGGUCUGAGAGGAUGACCAGCCACACUGGAACUGAGACACGGUC